GAUUCGUCACACUAUCAUUAACUGAAUCCAUAGGUUAAUGAGGCGAACCGGGGGAACUGAAACAUCUAAGUACCCCGAGGAAAAGAAAUCAACCGAGAUUCCCCCAGUAGCGGCGAGCGAACGGGGAGGAGCCCAGAGCCUGAAUCAGCAUGUGUGUUAGUGGAAGCGUCUGGAAAGGCGCGCGAUACAGGGUGACAGCCCCGUACACAAAAGCGCAUGUGCUGUGAGCUCGAUGAGUAGGGCGGGACACGUGGUAUCCUGUCUGAAUAUGGGGGGACCAUCCUCCAAGGCUAAAUACUCCUGACUGACCGAUAGUGAACCAGUACCGUGAGGGAAAGGCGAAAAGAACCCCGGCGAGGGGAGUGAAAAAGAACCUGAAACCGUGUACGUACAAGCAGUGGGAGCCCCACCACUAAGCCAGUGGUGAACUCCACAUCCGCAUCCUUUGCUGAGGAUACGGUUAACGGAGCGAAAGCGACGUUCAACCGCAAAACAAGCAGAGGGGGCUUAGUGGUGGGGUGACUGCGUACCUUUUGUAUAAUGGGUCAGCGACUUAUAUUCUGUAGCAAGGUUAACCGUAUAGGGGAGCCGGAGGGAAACCGAGUCUUAAUUGGGCGUUAAGUUGCAGGGUAUAGACCCGAAACCCGGUGAUCUAGCCAUGGGCAGGUUGAAGGUUGGGUAACACUAACUGGAGGACCGAACCGACUAAUGUUGAAAAAUUAGCGGAUGACCUGUGGCUGGGGGUGAAAGGCCAAUCAAACCGGGAGAUAGCUGGUUCUCCCCGAAAGCUAUUUAGGUAGCGCCUCGUGAAUUCAUCUCCGGGGGUAGAGCACUGUUUCGGCUAGGGGGCCAUCCCGGCUUACCAACCCGAUGCAAACUGCGAAUACCGGAGAAUGUUAUCACGGGAGACACACGGCGGGUGCUAACGUCCGUCGUGAAGAGGGAAACAACCCAGACCGCCAGCUAAGGUCCCAAAGUCAUGGUUAAGUGGGAAACGAUGUGGGAAGGCCCAGACAGCCAGGAUGUUGGCUUAGAAGCAGCCAUCAUUUAAAGAAAGCGUAAUAGCUCACUGGUCGAGUCGGCCUGCGCGGAAGAUGUAACGGGGCUAAACCAUGCACCGAAGCUGCGGCAGCGAACGUAUCACCCAAGACAACUUUACGGAGUUGACGAUUGACGGAGCGAAGCGACGUCAAAGCGUUCAUUAAAGUCGAGUUGGCUUAGGGAUACGUUCGUUGGGUAGGGGAGCGUUCUGUAAGCCUGUGAAGGUGUGUCGUGAGGCAUGCUGGAGGUAUCAGAAGUGCGAAUGCUGACAUAAGUAACGAUAAAGCGGGUGAAAAGCCCGCUCGCCGGAAGACCAAGGGUUCCUGUCCAACGUUAAUCGGGGCAGGGUGAGUCGACCCCUAAGGCGAGGCCGAAAGGCGUAGUCGAUGGGAAACGGGUUAAUAUUCCCGUACUUGGUGUUACUGCGAAGGGGGGACGGAGAAGGCUAUGUUGGCCGGGCGACGGUUGUCCCGGUUUAAGCGUGUAGGUGUGUGUUCCAGGUAAAUCCGGUUCACUUUAACACUGAGGCGUGACGACGAGGCACUACGGUGCUGAAGCAACAAAUGCCCUGCUUCCAGGAAAAGCCUCUAAGCAUCAGGUAACACGAAAUCGUACCCCAAACCGACACAGGUGGUCAGGUAGAGAAUACCAAGGCGCUUGAGAGAACUCGGGUGAAGGAACUAGGCAAAAUGGUGCCGUAACUUCGGGAGAAGGCACGCUGACACGUAGGUGAAGUGAUUUACUCAUGGAGCUGAAGUCAGUCGAAGAUACCAGCUGGCUGCAACUGUUUAUUAAAAACACAGCACUGUGCAAACACGAAAGUGGACGUAUACGGUGUGACGCCUGCCCGGUGCCGGAAGGUUAAUUGAUGGGGUCAGCGUAAGCGAAGCUCCUGAUCGAAGCCCCGGUAAACGGCGGCCGUAACUAUAACGGUCCUAAGGUAGCGAAAUUCCUUGUCGGGUAAGUUCCGACCUGCACGAAUGGCGUAAUGAUGGCCAGGCUGUCUCCACCCGAGACUCAGUGAAAUUGAACUCGCUGUGAAGAUGCAGUGUACCCGCGGCAAGACGGAAAGACCCCGUGAACCUUUACUAUAGCUUGACACUGAACAUUGAGCCUUGAUGUGUAGGAUAGGUGGGAGGCUUUGAAGUGUGGACGCCAGUCUGCAUGGAGCCGACCUUGAAAUACCACCCUUUAAUGUUUGAUGUUCUAACGUGGACCCGUAAUCCGGGUUGCGGACAGUGUCUGGUGGGUAGUUUGACUGGGGCGGUCUCCUCCUAAAGAGUAACGGAGGAGCACGAAGGUUGGCUAAUCCUGGUCGGACAUCAGGAGGUUAGUGCAAUGGCAUAAGCCAGCUUGACUGCGAGCGUGACGGCGCGAGCAGGUGCGAAAGCAGGUCAUAGUGAUCCGGUGGUUCUGAAUGGAAGGGCCAUCGCUCAACGGAUAAAAGGUACUCCGGGGAUAACAGGCUGAUACCGCCCAAGAGUUCAUAUCGACGGCGGUGUUUGGCACCUCGAUGUCGGCUCAUCACAUCCUGGGGCUGAAGUAGGUCCCAAGGGUAUGGCUGUUCGCCAUUUAAAGUGGUACGCGAGCUGGGUUUAGAACGUCGUGAGACAGUUCGGUCCCUAUCUGCCGUGGGCGCUGGAGAACUGAGGGGGGCUGCUCCUAGUACGAGAGGACCGGAGUGGACGCAUCACUGGUGUUCGGGUUGUCAUGCCAAUGGCACUGCCCGGUAGCUAAAUGCGGAAGAGAUAAGUGCUGAAAGCAUCUAAGCACGAAACUUGCCCCGAGAUGAGUUCUCCCUGAGACUUAGAGUCUCCUGAAGGAACGUUGAAGACGACGACGUUGAUAGGCCGGGUGUGUAAGCGCAGCGAUGCGUUGAGCUAACCGGUACUAAUGAACCGUGAGGCUUAACCUUACAACGCCGAAG
This 2968-nucleotide ribosomal RNA is filed under the name Salmonella enterica subsp. enterica serovar Typhimurium. RNAcentral describes it as "partial 23S ribosomal RNA". It matches the Rfam family "Bacterial large subunit ribosomal RNA". The record is from RNAcentral. Lineage: Bacteria; Pseudomonadati; Pseudomonadota; Gammaproteobacteria; Enterobacterales; Enterobacteriaceae.